UUUUUCAACCAACUUUGAGAUUGAGACCCAAUUGGAUUGUUCUCUUUACAGAUUUGCUUUCAUUGAUGUGGAUGAGAGCGAUGUAGACAAGGCAUUAAGACUAGGUCAUGUGGGAGGUUACUGUCUUACGCUGCGUGCAGAUCAACAUGAAACCUACAGGUUCCCCAACUUUAGAGGGUGUGAACAUUGUGGUACUUUUCUUUCGGAGCGNNN
RNAcentral lists this long non-coding RNA (213 nucleotides) under Capsella grandiflora. Its description in RNAcentral is "long non-coding RNA (CGRA_LNC001262)". Lineage: Eukaryota; Viridiplantae; Streptophyta; Magnoliopsida; Brassicales; Brassicaceae. The record is from RNAcentral.